GGCCCCGUCGUCUAGAGGCCUAGGACGCCAGGUUCUCAUCCUGGAAACACGGAUUCGACUUCCGUCGGGGUCA
This 73-nucleotide transfer RNA is filed under the name Candidatus Kaiserbacteria bacterium. RNAcentral's name for it is "tRNA-Glu". It matches the Rfam family "tRNA". From Rfam's summary of the family: Transfer RNA (tRNA) molecules are approximately 80 nucleotides in length. Lineage: Bacteria; Candidatus Kaiseribacteriota. The record is from RNAcentral.